UACGGGGGGGGCAAGCGUUGUUCGGAAUUACUGGGCGUAAAGGGCGCGUAGGCGGUUUGUUAAGUUGGAUGUGAAAACUCUGGGCUCAACCCAGAGCCUGCAUCCAAUACUGACAGGCUAGAGUUCUGGAGGGGAUAGCGGAAUUCCUGGUGUAGCGGUGAAAUGCGUAGAUAUCAGGAGGAACACCGGUGGCGAAGGCGGCUAUCUGGACAGAGUCUGACGCUGAGGCGCGAAAGCUAGGGGAGCAAACAGG
Molecule: ribosomal RNA, 253 nt
Filed under: uncultured bacterium
Lineage: Bacteria
Description: partial 16S ribosomal RNA
Rfam family: Bacterial small subunit ribosomal RNA
Source: RNAcentral